GAUGAACGCUGGCGGCGUGCCUAAUACAUGCAAGUCGAGCGAACAGACGAGGAGCUUGCUCCUCUGACGUUAGCGGCGGACGGGUGAGUAACACGUGGAUAACCUACCUAUAAGACUGGGAUAACUUCGGGAAACCGGAGCUAAUACCGGAUAAUAUAUUGAACCGCAUGGUUCAAUAGUAAAAGACGGUUUUGCUGUCACUUAUAGAUGUAUCCGCGCCGCAUUAGCUAGUUGGUAAGGUAACGGCUUACCAAGGCAACGAUGCGUAGCCGACCUGAGAGGGUGAUCGGCCACACUGGAACUGAGACACGGUCCAGACUCCUACGGGAGGCAGCAGUAGGGAAUCUUCCGCAAAGGGCGAAAGCCUGACGGAGCAACGCCGCGUGAGUGAUGAAGGUCUUCGGAUCGUAAAACUCUGUUAUUAGGGAAGAACAAAUGUGUAAGUAACUAUGCACGUCUUGACGGUACCUAAUCAGAAAGCCACGGCUAACUACGUG
This 497-nucleotide ribosomal RNA is filed under the name uncultured bacterium. RNAcentral describes it as "partial 16S ribosomal RNA". It matches the Rfam family "Bacterial small subunit ribosomal RNA", at positions 28 to 507 of the family's 1533-position model. The record is from RNAcentral.